RNAcentral lists this ribosomal RNA (287 nucleotides) under uncultured bacterium. RNAcentral's name for it is "partial 16S ribosomal RNA". It matches the Rfam family "Bacterial small subunit ribosomal RNA", at positions 542 to 827 of the family's 1533-position model. The record is from RNAcentral.
UGUCCGGAUUUACUGGGUGUAAAGGGUGCGUAGGCGGCUUUGCAAGUCAGAUGUGAAAUCUAUGGGCUCAACCCAUAAACUGCAUUUGAAACUGUAGAGCUUGAGUGAAGUAGAGGCAGGCGGAAUUCCCCGUGUAGCGGUGAAAUGCGUAGAGAUGGGGAGGAACACCAGUGGCGAAGGCGGCCUGCUGGGCUUUAACUGACGCUGAGGCACGAAAGCGUGGGUAGCAAACAGGAUUAGAUACCCUGGUAGUCCACGCUGUAAACGAUGAUUGACUAGGUGUGGGG